CGGUGGAAGACCGCCAUCUCAUAUUCGAGCAACAUAAGAAUUGGCCUGUGUGACAUAUCUCACCCAUCGAUAAGGGUUAUAGGUAUUAGACUUCUUUGCUAUCUGCAAGUAUUUCACCUGAAGCCUAGAAGCAUUGUACAUUGGUAUUGUGAAUGUCAUGCUNNNCCUGCCUCCUUCGUGAUAUUCCCAUGCAACUCCUGUGAAAAUGUCAGCUUUGCGCGUAAUGUAUGUUCAGAUCCACCAACAAUCUUCUUUAGUCCCCAUUCAAGUCUCUUAUUUGCUUCCUUAAAAUCUGUUGUUUGCCCAAUUGCUCCAGGUUCCAACUCAAAAGUAGCUCUGGUAGUAUAUUUUGGCAACGGCAUCUGUACAGCAAUUGUGUUUGCAGUAAUGCUUGAGGGGAACUCGGCCGAUAUUUUAAGAAUCACCUCAGCCUUCACGGCUCCUGCUUCCUCAAUCAAAGUAUUAAUGCGGAAAGGAGGUUUGAAUUCCUGGGUUAAACGAUAAUUCAUGACAGGAAAUUCACCAUCUGGGGGUACCAGAGUUAAUGUUCUAUCCAGAUCAAAACUAUCAAGACGUACAGAUUCAUGAAAAUUACAAUCAUCAAGUAUCACUGCUCCUGACCCAUAUGAACUCCUAUAAUCGUAGACUGAUCUUCCACUGCCUCUUCCUAUGCUCA
RNAcentral lists this unclassified non-coding RNA (676 nucleotides) under Hevea brasiliensis (rubber tree). Lineage: Eukaryota; Viridiplantae; Streptophyta; Magnoliopsida; Malpighiales; Euphorbiaceae. The record is from RNAcentral.